Molecule: long non-coding RNA, 14786 nt
Filed under: Cinara cedri
Lineage: Eukaryota; Metazoa; Arthropoda; Insecta; Hemiptera; Aphididae
Source: RNAcentral
GCAAAAUAAUAAUUCUUCCAUGGUAUCCUCACUUUCUAAAAAUCAUAUACCUGGUUUGGACCUAAUUACUAAUACUGAAUGCAAUACCAAAGGAUUUCUGAAUGUCUCAAAGAUUAUACCACAAAAUCAAACCGAACCGAUUCAAACACCUGACGACAAGCCAUUUAAUUUUCCCAAAAGCAAUACAACCUCUGCAAUUAUAAACCAACAACCAGUUAGUAUGCCUCUUAACAAUAUCCACCAAUCAACUACAUCCAUGUUUCAGAAUUCUUAUAGUUGGUCAAAGUUUAACAAUCCUGUAUCCUAUUAUGAUAAAAAUCCAGUGGAUGUGAAUGAUGCACCAUCAUCUAGAUUUGGUCAACAAAAUGAUAUUAAUGCUCGACCACCAUAUGAUGAAGAAAUAUCUAAUACUUCUUACAAUAGUUCUCAAAAUGCUACUAAUAAUAUGAACUAUAGAAGACCACUAGAAGGAUCAUAUAUUAAUAAACUGAUAAACGAAAGUAGUAGUACAAUGUACAAUAAGGGUCCAGAUGACCAACUUUAUAAUAGAAAUUUUAAUACACAAACUAGUAAUUUUCGAGGUUAUCAACCAAAUAUUUCCAAUAAUAAUAAUUUCAACAGAUCACCGGAAAACAUUCCAUAUCAACAUCAAAAACCAUUGAAUCUAACACAUUCGAAACCGCCUUCUUUGUUGAGUUUAAAUGUGGUUAAACCAAUUACACUAGGUAAGAAUUUAAAAUUACACUGUUUACAAAAUAUUUAUUUUUUAUAUUUCUGAACAUCAGAAUUUAUAAUAAAUUAUUAUUUAUUCUCAUAUAUUUUACCGACUGGUAUUAUUUUUGGUAUAUUAUUAUGAUUUUAUUUACCUGUUAGCAGAAAUUUUGACAAUUUAGAAAAUAAUAUCACUUUUGUAGUUUCUUGGGCAAUUACCCAAUAUAAUACUAAAGAACAUGGAGUUUACUUUGUGCAAAUAAUAUAGUAUUAUACUAAUUUACUAUUCUGUAUUAAUACAAAUACACGCCUUGUCCUAAUAUUAUCAAUCAUUAUUUUGUUACCGUAUUAUGUAUUGUCAAUUUUGCCAGUAACAUACCUACAACAUGACAUUUUAAAUUCCAUUAAUUUCAUAUUUUAGGUUCUGAUGGGAGCGAGGAAUAUAUAGGUUUUAUAGUGAUGUUUAUUUUAUUUUUGUAUUUUUUUCUGUGAAUAACUUAUCUACCAACAAUUUUAAGGGAGAUCAUUUUUUGAUUUUCCUAGGAGUUUUCAUAAUAAAUAGGAAAUACGGGAAAAUAUACAAAAUGUAUUAUUUUUAAAUUGUAAACUUUACAGCCUUUUAAAACAUCUAUAACCAAACUUCGCUCAGAAUUGUUUUUCGUAAACAAAUAUUAAUUAUUGCGUACAGAUAUAAAUUAAAUUCCCCUCAAUAUCCUACCUUCCCAACUUCUCACCUACAACAGUGACCCUCUCAUUGUAUGAAGAAUAUCCGUCAUUUUAAAUAUAAUUAUAUACAUUUACUUUUUAUUGUUUUAGAUAAACCUGGAAAUUACUUGGAAAAUAAGAACGAUUUACCAAAUAGGUAAUAAUUUUUAAUAGAUGUUUAAUAUGAGUUGGCGAUUAUUUGUAUUUUUCUAAAUUAUUAGGUAUGAAAGAAAUUGGAAUAUUGCUGAUGAUGAAGAAGAUCCGGAAAAUGAAUACAUGGAAGCACAUAAAAAAUUUAGUUCUGAACCAUUUGAUGAUCAAUAUGAUGAUCAAUUUUCAAACCAACAGCAUAGAAAUUCAUAUUAUGAUAAUGAUAAUUAUUCUAGAGGACAUCAGGGGCCUAGAGACUACAAUGAUGACUAUCCUAGAUCUUUGAAUCAAUCAAGUGGACCUCAAAUACCGAAGAAUAUGGACAUUGAAUACCCUAGACCGAAUUCUCAAUUCUCUAGAAAUGUUAACCAAAGUUACCCUCACGAUUUGCAAACACCAAAAAAGAAAGACAGUGAUUAUUAUAAAUCUACAAAUAAUAUUAAAAGUAUAGAUCAAGGAUUUUCCAGGGAAGUGCCUAAUUUAAGAGAUGUCAAUGGUGAGUAUUCUAAUGAAUCCACUGUUGAUAAAAACAAAUUUAUUUCACCAAAAGGGAACUAUGGACUUCCUCCAAGAAGAAAUUAUGAACCGUCUAGAAGUAAUUUUGGUAAUAAUUUAAAUAAGACAAAUAUAGAAUGGGAUAAUAAAGACUAUACACAAAAUGAGGCACCUCAACAGUCUGUAAAAGAUAUCAUAAUUCCACCUCUUGUUCAACAGCCAGCAAUUGAUUGCACACCAAUUGAUCCAGUAAAAAUAUUUGAUUAUCGUCAUUUACCCACAUUAAAAGUAAUUCCAGGUAAUAUUACAUUUGAAUUUUAUGAAAAAAUAAUUACUGUAAACUCUAAUUAUUUAAUAAUAACUUAGUAUUUAUAUUUAGGAAUAUCAAAAGAAACUGUGAUCCCAAUUAGAGUUUAUGAUUAUAAACAUGGAGGUAAACGUAUACUACCAUGGCAAGAUAGAGGUUUGUAUUAGAUUUUUAAUUCGCAGUAGGGCUGUUUAAAAUUAUUGUAAUAUGAGUAACAAUAUCCCUUGUGAUAAAAAAAAUUAUAAUUGUUUAAACUGACUAAGGAUCUAUAUUUUACUCAGGACCACAAUUUUGCUCAGUUUAACCUAGAUCAGGGAUCCACAACUAGAUGGGAGAAAUCUGAUGUGCACUUUGACAUCAUAGGCCAAAAUUGCUUAGGAAAACGUAGAUAGAUAAUUAGAUUUGGUUUUUCACUAUUAUUAGUUUUUGAGAACAAUACCUAAAUUAAACACCCUUCUAUUAUAUACUUUUUUCGUAAAAUUCAAUUUAAAACUAAUUUACUUUUAAAUUGUCAGUUAGUUUGGCCAUAAGAUGGAGACCCUUAAUCUAGGCAUGUCACUUCUGUAUUAUUAUUAUUAUUAUUAUUUGUUUUUAUAACAAUACUAUAGUGAACAAAAGUCAUUACAUUUAUUGUAAAUUAAAAAGAUUGGUGACAAUAUUCCAAAUUUGUUCAUAUUUUAUAACCACCUUAUGAUAUUACCACAAUUAUAACGAAUCGUUCGAUUUUCGAAAUGAAAAUUAUUUACUACUACUUCUGUGCAGUCACCAAUAUGAUUUUCUGUAGUAAAACAGAGCAACCUUGUUACAAAGAAGAAAAAUUCUCUGUCAUAAAUUCAUAAGUAAAAGGCAAAUUAUUUCAAAUACAUUUUUUAUAAAUUCUAUCAAUAUUUUAGAUUCUAGACUGGGUUUUAGGUUUAAAUUGAUUAAAAUAUACAGUUACUAAUUCCCUUAAAUUAAAAUGACAAAUGGUUUUAUUCAAAAUAAUAAAUUUGCUUUCGGUUAAUUAUAUGUACAGAUUGUUUCACAAAGAUUGUAAAAACUUUUAUUCUGUUCAAUAGUUUAACGAUUUUUCUUUUUUGUAUUAACUGACUAGAAUAUUUUUUUUUUUUUAAAAAAACACUUAAGAUAAAUUUAAACAUUUAUACUAAAAAAAUUGUUGAUUUAAGAAAUGUUUAUUGAUAAUGAGUUACAUUUUUUCCAUUUCAACUACCAAAUAAUUUCAUAUUUAAUGUUAAUGUAUAACUAUAAUAAAAUCCAAUUAUGAACCAAUGCAAUAACAAUAAUAGGUAAAGGUAAUAAAGAUGUAAUGUAGAAAAAUUAUUUUGGGUAAUUAGAUCUGGGCUAUUAUAAAGAAUGUAAUACCUCUUUAUUGAAUAUUUUUAAGUUUUUUUUUUUUUAAUGUUUAGAAAAACCUAACCUUUGAAAACUUCAACAAUUUUUAAAAAACUAAACGACUCAUCAUUAGUUAACAUUUGUAACAGUUAGACUUCUAACUCACUAGGCAGUCUGGCUGCAUCAGCCAUCCAUGGCCACUGAUAAGCAAUGGUUGAGUAUGCAAUAUGUGACUUGUAAUAAUUAGCCAGUUAGCUGCUGUGCAUUCGUGUACGUUCUGUUUGCUGCUACACCCACAAAUUAAUGGCUAUCUAGUGUGCAAGCUACAAUUAACCGCCAAAUGUCACAUUAGCUGUGUCAGCCAAGUUGCCUAGUGGUUUAGAAGCCUGCAAUUUUUUAAAAUAAAUGUAUUAAUUAACUAUUAUAUUUUGUAUAAAAAAGAAAUUAAAAAUAUUAAACAGAAUACAAGUUAGUGCAUUUGUUACAGUGAUAAUUGAUAUACUUAAAAUAAAAAAUAAUAUUUAAAUGAGUAGCCUGGUCACAAGAACCACUCUUUUAGGUUAGGACACCAUUUGAAAUGGGAUAAAUCAUUUGAAUAACCAUAUAAUAUAUCUAGGUUUGUUAAUUUAUACACAAAUUUCAGGUUUUAGUCGAAGAAAUUCAAAUCAUCCAAGAGAUUUAAAUGAAGAAGGUAAAUAAUUAUAACUAAAUGACAUUUAUAUACAAUGUGUAUUAUAUUUUAUAUAUGAGUUUAUUAUAUUUAAAAUGUAAAUGACUAUUAAAUUUAAUAAUAUUAUUUUCAAUUUUAAAUUGAAAUUAUGUAUAAUAAUAAUAUUUUUAAUUUUUUUUAAGACAACAUUAAUGAUCAAGAUAAAAAUAAAGAAACAUCAACUAAGAAGCCAACAUCAUUUGGGUCACAAGGUAGUUUAUUUUAAAUUAAAGUUGAGAAUAAAUAAAUUAUCAAGCAUAUAAUUAUUAUAUAAUAUUUAGAUAAUUCAUCAGACAUUAAAGAUUUUGAUUUUAAAAAUAAAGCCAAAGAAACUAAAAUGAUUGAAGAAACUACUAUUUUCGAAAUUAAAGAUGACAAAUUUAAAGAAGAUACAUCUAUUCCAGUAGACACUAUUACUAUUAUUGACGAUGAUGAUGUUGAAGAGGAGGAUGUGAUGAUUAUUGAUAAUUUAGAAAAAAGAGAAUUACUACAGUCUGGCAACAAAACAAAUAAUUCCCAUGUCCAUGUGCCAUCUCCACCUAAAAUGUUGCACAAUAUGGAAGUCGAAAAAUCACCUGCUAGAAAAUUGUUAUCUAUUGAUACAUUACUAAGUCCACCUGGUCGGCUUAAUAGACCGGCCAAAAUAGUUAUAAUAAUGAGAGGAUUACCUGGUUCAGGAAAAUCCUACGUUGCGAAGUUAAUCAAAGUUAGUAUAAUAUUAUACAUUUGUAUAUUAUAUUAUAUCAGUGCUUGAAUGAAUAUUGGUAAAAGUAACAAAUAUGUAUGUAUAAUAAGUGUAUGUUUCUGUAGACUUAUUUGAAUUAUUUAAACAAACUAGAUGAGAUAUGAAAUAGUUAAGAAAAAAAGGUAUUCAGUCUUCUCGCAUCUGUCAAUUCAAGUACUGAUUAAUAUUACAUUUUAUUGAGUUAUCUACAUUGUAAUAAAUUUCAUUAGGAGAAAGAAGUAGCAAUGGGUGGACAAGCUCCUAGAGUAUUAUCAUUAGAUGAUUAUUUUAUGACAGAAAUAACUAAGACUGAAAUUAAUCCUGAGACCAAUAAAACAGUGGAAAAAAAGGUAAUAUUGUUUAUAUUGUUAUUCUUGUUUAAACCCAUUAAUAUCUAAAAAAUAUUUAAUUUUCUUACAUUAUCUUACAGGCUAAUUAAAACAUGAAAUGUGGUUGUUAGGUCAAAUACACAUACAUGUUAAAAUUAAAUCAAAAUAAUGUAAUAUUUUUAAUUUUAAUAAUUUAUUUUUAUCUCAGUAAUAUUGUGAUAAAAUGGUUUUACAAUACAUAUUUUUAUAUCACUUGAAAGAUUGGGGUUUCCAUUGCAUUGCGACCCUAACUGUUUUGAUGUUUCCUUGUCAUUAUGUAAUUAUAGUGUCCUUUAUACUUUAACAAAGUCUGUUACUGGUGUAGGUUUUACCAAUAUUUUACUAAUUUUUUUUCUAUCUCGUUUGCCGAUUUCCCAUUGCUUUAUCUAUAGUAGUAGAUCCACAUAUUUUCCUCUAUGCUGUGUUCUCAAAAUGUAUCAAUCUUAAUUCUACUGUUUGGUUAUUGUUUAAGUGUCACGUCUAUGAAUGAAAGUUGUUUCUACUUUGUUUAUAGUUGUCCUAGAUUAGCGGGCAUAGGAUUAAGGAUCAUAAGGGCACCAGAUACACACACCAACAUAAUAUAGCAACCAAACAAACUCUCAUAUAUUUUAACAAUAAAUAAAUACAAUAACAAUUAUAAGUAUCUUAUUGAAACUAUCAAUGAGACCAGUGAUUUUCAACCUGGGGGUUAUGACCGACUAAGGGGUUGCGAAAAAUUAUGGUAUCAUGUAUACCAGCGUUUCCCAACCUUUUUCCCUCGCGGCACACUAAUCCCAACCCAUAUUUAGCCGCGGCACACUUGUCACUUAGUUAUUUAUGUAUACAAAUUUUUUUAUACUAGACUUUCAUCAUAUUAAUUAUUAAUACCAAAAUAGUUGUAUAUCAGUAUAAUAUUUCUAGCAAACAUUUUAAAAUGGUAGGAUAGAAAAAAAUAUUAUUACAAUUAUCCUAAAUAUUUAAUUUAUUGAAAUGGAAAAACAAGAUACAUUACAAUUUUUAUAAAAAACCUAAUCUUAGUGAGAAAUUUGGGACUGUUUUCUCUUCAUUAUUAGGUUCCUUCGUGGUCGAAUGGUUGAUAAGCACACCCUCAUGUCGUCUUCCAAGUUCUUCAGUUUUGAUGGCAUUCAUUGAAGAGAAUGCUCACUAUUCAUAGCAGAACACAUUGAUUAAAUAAUCUUGAUUUCAAAGGUUUACUUUUAAUGAAGUUUACCAUUUUGACAACAGUUUGCAAUACUUCAUUGAGCUCAGGCAUCAAAGAUUUAGCAACGAGAGCUUCUCUAUAUAUGAAGCAGUGAGUGAAAAUAAUAUCCAGGUUUUCUUUCUUAACUAAUGCCAAAAAACCUGUUAAAUGACCAAUCAUUGAAGGGCACCCAUCUGUACAAACACUCAAACAAAAUUUCCAUGAUAUAUUGGCAGUGGUAAAAUAAUUGUUAACCAAAUUAAAAAUAUCUUGUCCUUUUGUAGUUUCAGGAAGGUCUUUACAAAAUAAAAAUUGUUCUAUCAACUCAUUAUCGCAUAUAAAUUUUACGAAUGUCAUGACCUGAGGUUUUCCGGUUACAUCUGUAGACUCAUCUAAUUGAAGGGCAAACAAUUCAGCUGCUUUCAGUUUUUCAUUCACGNUCACCAAACAAAAUUUUAAAGAUUUCACAGCAUGCUGGUAAAAUGGUUGACUCGGCUGUUGUGUGAGAUUUCAUUUUUUUUGCUAUCAGUUCCACGACAGCAUAGCUAGCUUCCUGUGCCUUAUCUGAUACAGUUGAGUGUUUUAUAAACUUUAAAGCCUGUCUGUUUUGAUCUGAGGCUAACCUUUUGAAAAAAUCUAGAGGCUUUUCAGACGCAAAACCAUGUUUUGUAAGCAGGUGCCUUUUCAGCUUACUUGGUACAAUACUUUCAUUAGAUAAUUUUUCAAUACACAUGAGGCAUUGAGGUAUACUAGGUAUAGGCAUUUCUCCACCACUCGACGUGAAAUCAAAUGAUAAAAAGCUUUCGUGAUAUUGUCGAAUAUAAUUUUUUGAUCGUACGUUAGCAUUUUUACUCGCACUCACCUCAACAUUAGGAGGAUUGAAACUAGGACCAGGCAAUUCCUCAACAUCAACUCUAUGAGCACUAUUAGGAUCAGGCAAUUCUUCGCUUAAUUUACGUUUCCUAAUUAAAAAAUGAUCCAUCGUGCGCUACACGUAGUACGAAUGAUAAUCGUAAAGCGAAAAGAAAAAAUUUCCGUUAAAGUAUAACACGGUAAUAAUAAAUGUACUUCAUACGACGACAAACGACUAACUGACAUUUUAACAUUUUAAAUGAAUUAAUAAGAAAUAGUGAACAAUAAGAUAAGAUUCUCCCCGAUAAGAGAAUCGUUAAAACUAUUUUAACCAAUUACUGAAAUUUUACGGAAACUUUUAUUAAUAGUCAUGGCAUUUCGCGGCACACCGGUUGGGAAACCCUGAUGUAUACUGUACAUUAUAUUAUUCAAAUUCUGUUAAACAGUUUUUGAAGAGAUUAUCAAAGAUGUAAACAAAAAAAUUUGGGAUUCGUAAAAGUUUGAAAACUACUAGACUAGGCGUUAAUAUCUAAAUAUUCGAUUGUUUGGUUUUAAACCAGUCUAAAAGUAAAAACUUAUAGAUCUUGCUCAUCACUACUAUCAAGGUCAUGGGGUACUUGAGUCUGCAUCUGAUAUUCUGAUUCUUCAGCUUUCCUGUUCAGCAGUUUAUGCACCAGCCAACAUGGUACACUUGCAUGAAUUUGUGCACUGCUUCCCUCAUACUAUGCCAGAAGAAACACUACUUUAUUAUUGUACUUUACCUACUCUUGAUGGUUUCUUCAUGGUUGUGAAAUCUCCAUACUGAAGAGUUUACUUAUUUUCUCCAGUAUAUUCAGAUCAUUCUAUUGAUUGAAACCUUCAUAUAUCUGCCCGAAAAUGCAUUCUGUUGUCCUUGAAUGUCCUUGUAUAGAUAUGAUCCAAAACAAUUGUGGCCUUACAGUGCCAGAGUUAAAUGUUGGCUCCCCAGUUCAUAGCUUCAUCGAAAUAUUACUUAGUACUGUAUAAAUCUAAAUUUCUUACAGUGAACCACUUUAAUAUGUAAUCAUAUAAUGUCAUACAAUAUUAUAUAAAUUGUCUUGUCUAUAUAAUCAUUAAAUAAUAUUUUGUUUUACUUAGCAUUUUUAUUUAAAUAAAUGUAAUACUAUUAAAAAAUUUAAAGAUAAAAUAUUUGAUACCGAGGAAGAAGGACAUAGGUUAAUUUUAUACAGUUUUAAAUACAAGCAAAUUAAAUUUAAAGUAUAUACACUUAUGCUACUUAACCAAAAAAAAUUACAGAGGAAAAAUUGUCUGAAGUCCUUUUGCCCUAAAAAUGUAUUUAUUUUUUUUUUUCGUAACAUUAUUUUGUGUACUUUAUUGUUUAAGGUUAUGGAAUAUGAAUAUGAUUCUGCUAAUGAAAGUUUAUACCGUACAUCCUUUAUAAAAGCAUUUAAGAAAAAAGUGGUCGAAAAUUUUUUUUCAUUUUUUAUUAUUGAUGCUAUAAAUAAUAAAGUUACAUAUUAUAAAGAUAUACUUGAUAUUUCUAGAAUCAAUGGAUUUACUGUAAGUGUUAUUGAGUCUUUGUGCUAUAUUGUAUGUUUAAAUAUCUUGAUAUAUAUAUAUGCGUAUAUAAAAUAUAAUUAUUUUACAUUACUAUUAGAUUUGUUUUGGGGAAAAUGUAAUGUGUGAUUUAGUAAAGAUAAGUAGUAUCUUUAUAGUUUAUAGUAUUAAAAAAAGACUGACAUAUUUUGCAUGAUAGGUGGGCCACUAUUGUAAGUGAGAAUUUGAGCAAGUAGGAUAUAGAAAGGAAUUUAACGUUUAUCUGUACACAACUAUUAAUCAUUGCUAACCAAAAAUAAUUCUGAGCGGAGUUUAGUUUUACAUAUUUAUAAAGGUCGUAAUGUUUUUGACUUUUGUUGAAAUUUGAUAUUAAAAUUCUUAUAAAAAGAAUUCUACAUUACACUCAGUUUUUUAGAUUCUAAAUGGAGUGAGAAAUGUAUUGGUUUUACAAUGAUGUUUAUUUUAUUUUAUUUUUUAUGUGAACACUUUUUCUGAAAGGAAAUAUUUUCUGGGUGGUACUUUUAGAGAUCAUUUUUUAAAAUUCUCAUUAAUAUUUGAGAUAAUGAAGAAAACCUGGUUCUUUAGGUUAAAAAAGAUUGAAAGAUUACAAAUAAGGUUGUCAUUUUCAACCGCUAGGUUAUUUAUUUUUUGUUAUUAAGUUUUUAUUAUUUUAAGUCUUUUAUAAACAAUCAUUGUUGUCAUGGAAACGAAAAUGUAAUCAUUUUAUCAUAAUAUGAUAUAUACGAGUAUAUUGUAAACAACUAAACUCUGCUCAGAAUGGUUUUUUCGUAAGCAAUAGUUUAUUGUCUUUAUAAAAAUUUAAUUUUUUUUUUUUUUUUUUUGUUAUUAUGAACCUCUUAUUUAAUUUUCAAUCGUUUCUGUUUGAUUUUACAUUUUUAUCCACGGAGGUUAGAUUAGGACUACCUACCAGAGAAAAAUGACAUAAAAAACUCGCAAAAUUAAAAUGUUUAUAAAUAGCUCGAAAAUGGGUAAAAUGUUUUAAAAAAUUUACCACGUCUAGAUAAGGCAAAUUUAAUUUUUUUAACUGAAUAAUAACAAAAAGAAAAUUUAAAUUUAUAAAUUUUGUAAACAUUCCCGUUUUAUUUCGUUUUUUUGUAAUUAUGAAAAUCUCUUGAAAAAUCAUUAAAUGACUUCCCUAAAGUACCACCCAGAUAAAAUUUCUUUUCAGAAAAUGUACUACAAUUGCUCCAUUAUCAACACGCCGCAUGCUGUAUAAUACAGUGGAGUGGUGAAAUCACUACCCUCCUUUAACCAAUACUAAAAAGUGGAAUAUCUCCUCAAACGGAAAUCAAAACUUUCAACACAAAAAUUUAUUUUAACAUUAUCUUUUCAUCUAUUUAUGGAAUUUUUAAUAUAGAUUGCCAUUUUCAAAUCAAAAAUAGUUACCCCCCAAAAAUAAGGGUAGAACAGCUUAUUUUCUUAAAUGUUCUAUAAAACAAAUUCCUGAAAUAAUUAAUACUUUCCGAGAUAAUGAGUUUAUUCACUUAAAUGGAUCACUUAGCAUGUAUGUAUAAUUAUUUAUAGGCUGUCUCACGAAGAUAUACCCCUUGAAUAUCUCCGGAGAUAACAAAUAUAAUCAAAUUCUGUUUUUUUUUUUUUAUAUAUUACUCACAGGGAUGAGAACUAAAAUAUUUUAUUAUUUUAGGAAAAUUUUAAGAUAGCCAUUCUGUAGCGUUUAUUUUUCUGAAAAUUUUAAUUUAUCACACAUUACCCUGUGCCACCCACUAAAAAAUGUAUUUUGCAAUAAAGUCCAUUCCCUAGUUAUCACGUAACACAGUUAAGUCAUUCCUUAAAUAAGUAACAUUAGUUUUCACACAGAUUAGGGAAUUUAAAAUGGCUGUUACUUAAAAACUAUUCAUCGGAUAUAAAUGUGUGAUACAUUAAAAUUUUCAGCAAAAUAAAUUCUGCAGAAUGGCAUUUAUAAAAUUUUACUAAAAUAUUAAAAAUAGUUAUAUAUUUUUUAAGUUUUUUACUAAAAAAAAAAUUGAAUACAAAUAAAAAAUAUUUGUAGUCCUCAUCCCUGUGAGUAAUAUAAAAAAAAAAAUUUGAUUAUCUUUAUCAUCUCUGAAGAUAUUAAAAGGGUAUAUUUUGGUGGGACAGCCAAUAUAUAUUUAUUUUUUUUUCAUAAAUCAAGAUAUUUAAAUACAAUAAUAAUAAUAAUGAUUUUGCAUAUUUUAUGUUAAUUAUAUACAUUUUUAGGUGUAUAUUAUUGAAUUAGAAGCUGAUGUUGAUCUAUGUAUCAAACGCAAUAUUCAUAAUAGAACAGCUAAUGAUAUUAAAUAUUUAAUGAAAUCUUGGGUUAAAACUCCUGAUAAUCAAAUACUGUUGGAUAUACGAUCAUUACUUAAUUUAGCUUCAAAGAGUGAAGUAUUAAAAAAAUUAUUUAAUAUUUAAACAUGUUAAAUUAAAUAUGUAUUAUUAAAUUAGAUGGAAAUGGAGGAUGUAUCAGACGUCGAAAUGGAUUUGGACAGAGACGAAAAUGACAAUGCUGAUGAUGAAAACAAACAGAAAGAAAACACAAGUAUUGAUUUUGAAGAAGAGGUAAUGGUUUUUUUUUUUAAGUUAUUUUAAGUUAGAUAACAUAUAUAUACAUUCUUCUUCUCCUUCUUUCUACAAAAUAAUGGAAAAAUAAAAUAUUCAAUGAUUGAAUAGGUUUAGAUUUUAUAAGGUUCAUAUAACUAGUUAAUUAACCAUAUUGCAGUUACCUAUUAUAUUUGUGUGAAAUGAUCUCGUGAUAAACGAAACAAAAUUAUUACUCGGAAUGUGUGAAUAAUUAUAUUUAAACAAUUGUGUAAAUAUCCAGUGGCUGAGUAGUUUUGUCAAAAUAAUGCUGUUGUUUCUAAAUUAGUGUUAUUUUUUUUUAUUUGUAUAACAUAAUCUUUAAUAAUUUUUGUUGAAAACAUAGCAUCUUAUAAAAAACGUAAAACCAGAAGAUACCAUUUCUAUUAUUCUAUUUUUUGGUUGCUAAUAUUUCUACAGGACAUCAUGAAAUUAUUGUCUUGCAAAUGGAUUGAUACUAUCCCACAAGAAGAAAAGAUGAGUAAGUUAUGUUGAUCAUUUUUUUUAUUAUUGACACAAAAAUUAACUAUUUUUAUUUAAUUUUCUACAGAUAUUAACAAUGUUAGAAAUUUUAGUUUCUCUUAAUUAUUUGAAAUUAAAUAUUAACAUUUGAAUGUUAUAUUUAUUUCAGAGAGAUUAGAUGGCCUGUGCAAGAAAAAACCAGAAAGGUCAAUUAAAGAAUGGUUACAAAUACCUGAAGAUAAUUAUACCGAUUGUGAACAAGAAGUAGUUGUCAAAGAUGGAAAAAAGAGGGUAAAUAUUAUCAUUUAUUUAUUUAAACUAAAAAUAAAAACCAAUUAUUUAAUUGUAGAUUAAGUGAUGACACUGCAAUAUUUUAACUUCUAUUAAAAAUCAAAACAAAUUAUACACAUCUUAUAUCAUUAUUAUUAGUCUACUUCACACUAUAUAUUAUAUAUAUUAUCUGUUGUAUGUGUAAGAAAUUAUUUCUGCGAUUAACGUUAAUGUUUUGAUAGCCCUUAAACUUAUUUUAAAAUCAUUUUCACCAUCUAUAGCUCUACAUUAUUUGUUUUUUCUGAUCAGUUCAUCUACGUGUACAAAACUAUAUUAAUUUCAUUUGUCCUCUAAAGAAUUAUUUUUAUAUAAUUUUGUAUUGAUAUAAAUAUGAAUUUCUAUAUGUAAAUGUUUCAUAUUUUUUAUCAGCAAAAAGAAAAUUAUACAUUAUUAAAAAACUUUUUUAUUUUGUGUAGGUUCGUUGGGCUGAUAUGGAAGAGCGACGUGAACAAGAAAAAAUGCGUGCUAUUGGUUUUGUUGUUGGGCAGACAGAUUGGAAUCGUAUGUUAGGUCGAGAUCAAGGUGAAAGCAAGCUGACCCAAACCAAAUAUAUUUGAUUAUCAAAAUAUAUUUUAACAUGUUUCAUUUUUAAAACAAUUAUUUUGUUUAUAUAUAUAUAUAUAUAUAUAUAUAUAUAUUUUUUUUGUUUUUUUAGUAAACAUUUUAAACAAUUAUUGUUUUUACUUACUGCUCUUGUUAAAAUAUUUUAUUAGAAAAUCCAAUUAAUAUGUAUAAAUAAAAAAAAAAUGUUAAUAUUUAAUAUACUAAUUUUUAAUUUAACAAUACUGUAAAAAAAAAAUAAUAAUAAAUGAAGGAACUGAACAAUGGAUUAAAUUUAAACACCUUAGAACAAUUUUGAGUAAGUAUUCAUAAUGCGCUAUAUUAUUAUUAUACCUGUUAUAACAAUUUGUAAUUUUUUUUUAAAUUUAUAUUAGGUAUAUUAAUUAAAAUUAUUUUCAUAUUUUGUAACCAUAACAUUAUUACCACCAAGAGUAGUAGUACUUUUCACUCUUGGUGAUUUAUUGUUUUCGUUAAAAUCUCUGCGCAACAUUGUUGGCCCUGUUGUUGUGCGCGUCAUCACCAUCGGUCCUUGUUGUUUGUUAUCAUCCAGUGAUCUCUAAAAUAAACCCACCAAGCACCCCCCAAAAAAAGAAAAUUACUAACUAUCCACAUUUAAAAGAUACAUAUAUUUUACAAUGUUUGUCCUGGGCAAUAUUAUGUUAACUGAUUAAUAUUUUUUUGUAAAUCUAUAGUAUUUACAGUAAUUAAUAUUAUUGUAUCAAAAAAGGAAUACAAUUUGUCUUUAAGAUACAAAGACUUUCAAAAUAAUUUAAUUAUCAGGACAAACACAGCAAAGCCUUGUAUGUAAAUUAAUGGAUUUGAGUAAUAAAUACACUGUUAAUCUGUUAUGAAUAUUUUAUAACUAGUUAAUAAUUGUAUUAAUAUUAUAAUAUAUUGGUUAGUAUUGUUUACCUGUAACACAUUCAAAAAAAAUAGAAACGCCAGUAAAGCCAAUGCUGAAGAUGUUGACGUCGACAACCGUCGUGUGCUUUGAUUUUGUUUUCUAUGUUACACAAAUGACAAUAAUAUUAUAUUAUCAGUGAAAAACAAAACAAAUAAAUCAUAAUAUAAUUUUGUUAUAUAUUAUGUUUGCUUACCUUAUUGUACCAUAAGCGCGCCCAACGUCCAAUAACGGCCGAAAACCCUCGUUAAUAUUGCCGAUGUCGUUUGAAACAUUGUUAUUAUUUACGUUAGAUGACAUUAAAAUAUAAUAAUACUAACGGCCCGUACUUAAGAAUAUAAGUUGAUUAUUUAAAUAUUUGCCAAAUUUAUAAACGGUGGGUUUUUGUUUAUAGAAAAGAAUAAUCAAACGGUAUUUGGGAUCUGACACUUUGAAAAACCAUCGCUGGAUGAACAAGAUUGUACUGACAGACAUGAAAUUUAGUCAUGCUACUUCUUCUUCUUAAGGCAAAGCUGUGAUUUAUAUAAUUAACGCCAACCACACUGACACAGCCAUCAUCGCCACGGUGUUGUGGUUUUUCAGGUUAAAUGCAGACCAUGACUGUUAUUUUUUUUUUUUUAUCACUACCUAUUGUAUUGUCAAGUGUGUUCCAUAAUUGUUUCCAGUACUAUAAACCGUUAGUUUAAUUAAUUUUGUUUGUUUUUUUUUUAAUGUGUGUUUUAGAUUUUUUAAAUAAUUAUAACUACUGUCUAUAAUAUAAAAUUAUUAUAAUUUCGUAAAGUAUUUAAUUUUGUUGCUAUAAUAAUAAUAUUUAUUAAACGUCAUAAUAUUAUAUAGGUACUUAUGUAAAUUAUGGUAGUUAUUAUUAUAUAUUUUUUAAUGU